This 422-nucleotide ribosomal RNA is filed under the name uncultured Bacteroidota bacterium. Its description in RNAcentral is "bacterial SSU rRNA". It matches the Rfam family "Bacterial small subunit ribosomal RNA", at positions 355 to 774 of the family's 1533-position model. Lineage: Bacteria; Pseudomonadati; Bacteroidota. The record is from RNAcentral.
UGGGGAAUAUUGCACAAUGGGGGAAACCCUGACCCAGCCAUGCCGCGUGAAGGAAGAAGGUUCUAUGGAUUGUAAACUUCUUUUAUUUGGGAAGAAACCUCUCUACGUGUAGAGAGCUGACGGUACCAAACGAAUAAGGACCGGCUAACUCCGUGCCAGCAGCCGCGGUAAUACGGAGGGUCCAAACGUUAUCCGGAAUCAUUGGGUUUAAAGGGUGCGCAGGCGGUUUAUUAAGUCAGUGGUGAAAUCUCGAGGCUCAACCUCGAAACUGCCAUUGAUACUGAUAAACUUGAGUUCAGUUGGAGUAGGCGGAAUGUGUAGUGUAGCGGUGAAAUGCUUAGAUAUUACACAGAACACCGAUAGCGAAGGCAGCUUACUAAACUGAUACUGACGCUGAGGCACGAAAGCGUGGGGAGCGAACA